RNAcentral lists this ribosomal RNA (450 nucleotides) under uncultured Streptococcus sp. RNAcentral's name for it is "bacterial SSU rRNA". It matches the Rfam family "Bacterial small subunit ribosomal RNA", at positions 341 to 783 of the family's 1533-position model. The record is from RNAcentral. Lineage: Bacteria; Bacillati; Bacillota; Bacilli; Lactobacillales; Streptococcaceae.
ACGGAAGGCAGCAGUAGGGAAUCUUCGGCAAUGGGGGCAACCCUGACCGAGCAACGCCGCGUGAGUGAAGACGGUUUUCGGAUCGUAAAGCUCUGUUGUAAGAGAAGAACGUGUGUGAGAGUGGAAAGUUCACACAGUGACGGUAACUUACCAGAAAGGGACGGCUAACUACGUGCCAGCAGCCGCGGUAAUACGUAGGUCCCGAGCGUUGUCCGGAGUUAUUGGGCGUAAAGCGAGCGCAGGCGGUUUAAUAAGUCUGAAGUUAAAGGCAGUGGCUUAACCAUUGUUCGCUUCGGAAACUGUUAGACUUGAGUGAAGAAGGGGAGAGUGGAAGUCCAUGUGUAGCGGUGAAAUGCGUAGAUAGAUGGAGGAACACCGGUGGCGAAAGCGGCUCUCUGGUCUGUAACUGACGCUGAGGCUGGAGAGCGUGGGGAGCAAACAGGAUGAGAU